This 379-nucleotide ribosomal RNA is filed under the name uncultured bacterium. RNAcentral describes it as "bacterial SSU rRNA". It matches the Rfam family "Bacterial small subunit ribosomal RNA", at positions 775 to 1151 of the family's 1533-position model. The record is from RNAcentral.
AGUAAAUAGAUACCCGGGUAGUCCACGCCGUAAACGAUGAAUACUAGGUGUAGGAGGUAUCGACUCCUUCUGUGCCGCAGUUAAACACAAUAAGUAUUCCGCCUGGGGAGUACGGUCGCAAGAUUAAAACUCAAAGGAAUUGACGGGGGCCCGCACAAGCAGCGGAGCAUGUGGUUUAAAUUCGAAGCAACGCGAAGAACCUUACCUAGACUUGACAUCUUCUGCAUUAAUCGUAAUGGAUGAAAUCCCUUCGGGGACAGAAUGACAGGUGGUGCAUGGUUGUCGUCAGCUCGUGUCGUGAGAUGUUGGGUUAAGUCCCGCAACGAGCGCAACCCUAUUAUUAGUUGCUAACAUUAAGUUGAGCACUCUAGUGAGACUG